Molecule: ribosomal RNA, 379 nt
Filed under: uncultured bacterium
Lineage: Bacteria
Description: bacterial SSU rRNA
Rfam family: Bacterial small subunit ribosomal RNA
Source: RNAcentral
AACGAACGCUGGCGGCGCGCCUAAUACAUGCAAGUCGAGCGAGAAGACGUAGCAAUACGUUUGUAAAGCGGCGAACGGGUGAGGAAUACAUGGGUAACCUACCCUCGAGUGGGGAUAACUAGCCGAAAGGUUAGCUAAUACCGCGUACGCUCCUUGGACUUCGGUUCAGGGAGGAAAGACGAUACCGUGGGUAUCGCGCUCUUGGAUGGGCUCAUGUCCUAUCAGCUUGUUGGGAGGUAACGGCUCACCAAGGCUUCGACGGGUAGCUGGUCUGAGAGGACGAUCAGCCACACUGGCACUGCGACACGGGCCAGACUCCUACGGGAGGCAGCAGUAAGGAAUAUUGCGCAAUGGGCGAAAGCCUGACGCAGCGACGCCG